Molecule: long non-coding RNA, 1075 nt
Organism: Hibiscus syriacus
Lineage: Eukaryota; Viridiplantae; Streptophyta; Magnoliopsida; Malvales; Malvaceae
Exons: 5
Source: RefSeq, a predicted model, not a curated record
UGUAUUUGUUUAUUCCCGUCUUCUAUUGGCUAAAAAAACCCUCAUCUCCCGUUAGCUUACUUCUGGCUGAAACAAAAUUUCUUGCGAGAGUUGUUGCAAAGAGGUUUCCAUUACUGCUCCAACGGACUUCUUCUUCUGUGGUGCUCUAUCUCUAUCUGUUAAUUUGUUGUUAGUUCUGUCUUUUCUAGCACUCGAUCUUGGACUGGGCUUUGAUGGGUCUUUGGUUUCGGUUUUGGUUAUUUCGUUUGAUUCAUCUAGUUUGACACGGUCUGGCCAGCGGAAGUGUAUAGAUCCUUCGGAUUCUCCUACAAGUUUGUCUCGAGUAGAAUCUGCAAAAUGGAGUGAUUUAGUCUCAACAGGUUAUUUUCCAGAAGUUGAACCAGUGGAAGUGAGAAUUUUGGGUAAUAUGAAUUUGGUUGUUGUAUGUGGAAGUUUUAAUCACUGCCUGGAAUAAACUGAGAAACCUAAAAAUCUUUCAAGUCGGUUGUAGUUGAGUUCGGUUCAGUUUUAGUCCGGACUCUGGAUAAUAUAUAAACACAUUUGGUCUGUUUCUGGCUGAGAAAUUAAGAACCUGAAGACCAAAUUGAUCCAAGUUGGUAGAAUUUGGUUUCGUAUGACAUUUGAUUCAUCUUCUGUUUGGUUUUUAAGAAGAUGGGCCAUUAUUACCCAUUCUCCGGUUAAUUUAUUGAAUCAUAGUUUAAGAAGUGCUUAAUCUUUGAAUCUCGGAGCUGAUAUACAGUACUGUUAAAUCCGAAGUGAAGCGGGCUAUUUCCGACAUCCAAAAUGAGCUUCAGGGUGCUAUCAGGAGGAAUAAUCCAACUACCGAUGCAGUCGAGUUUGUGUCAGACAUACAACAUGAAUAUGCUACAAAACUCGAGCUGUCCCAGGAACGUGCCAGACAACUUCGAGCCGACCUAGCUGUAGAGGAACACCGGGGCAUGGAGCUUAGUAGGAGAAUCCGAAGGAUCUAUACACUUCCGCUUGGAGGACCCAAUAGUAGCGUUAAUAUGCAUUUAUUAAAUUAAUAAACGAUGUACCACUUCAACAUAAUUAAAACUCAUUUCGAGAAAUAAGA